This 440-nucleotide ribosomal RNA is filed under the name uncultured bacterium. RNAcentral's name for it is "partial 16S ribosomal RNA". It matches the Rfam family "Bacterial small subunit ribosomal RNA", at positions 338 to 795 of the family's 1533-position model. The record is from RNAcentral.
CCUACGGGGGGCAGCAGUGGGGGAUAUUGCACAAUGGGGGGAACCCUGAUGCAGCGACGCCGCGUGGGUGAAGAAGCGCCUCGGCGCGUAAAGCCCUGUCAGCAGGGAAGAAAAUGACGGUACCUGUUUAGAAAGCUCCGGCUAACUACGUGCCAGCAGCCGCGGUAAUACGUAGGGAGCAAGCGUUGUCCGGAAUUACUGGGCGUAAAGGGCGCGUAGGUGGGCGCUUAAGUCAGGUGUGAAAACUCCGGGCUCAACCUGGAGACUGCACUUGAAACUGGGUGUCUUGAGGGCAGGAGAGGAAAGUGGAAUUCCUAGUGUAGGGGUGAAAUGCGUAGAUAUUAGGAGGAACACCAGUGGCGAAGGCGACUUUCUGGACUGUACCUGACGCUGAGGCGCGAAAGCGUGGGUAGCGAACGGGAUUAGAUACCCUGGUAGUC